Long non-coding RNA from Mesocricetus auratus (golden hamster), 1132 nucleotides. RefSeq lists it as uncharacterized. The transcript is spliced from 3 exons. The record is from RefSeq and is a predicted model, not a curated record. Lineage: Eukaryota; Metazoa; Chordata; Mammalia; Rodentia; Cricetidae.
CAGCUCUCCAAAAACUGACAUGUGAACCAGAAAAGGGAGGCACACAUCUUCAGGGGAAAAGAAGUCAUGCUUUGACGGCUUGAAAUAGAUCUCUAAAACUAAACCCAAUUAAUUUAACAAGUCCUCACAUUGGAAAUCACCCUGAAAAUGUUCUUUGACGAUCAUGCCAUUUAGAAAUCAUCAACCAAAGGGCACUUAGAGAACAGCUCCUAAAGCGGAAACUCUUGGGUAAUUCUAACAACCAAGGGACAACGUAAAGAAGGUCAAAGUCUAUGAAAGCACAGCAUGCAAAAUUUGUGGAAUGGAGCCACAAAUCUUAGCUUCAACCGAAAAAAACCAACAAACAAAAAGACAAAGGAAGCACAGGCUGAGGACAAUAGCAAAGCCCACAAGAUAGCAAAGAGCUUGAAGACAGCUGAAAUGAGCCAGUGAGUCCAGAAGCUGGUUCCUGGAAAGACGAAUCAGUCUGUGAGUUCAUCAAGCCAGACCCUGGGGCCAAUUGAGAGUCUCCUUGAAAUGAUCCUGGUUCUGAGCUCUGCCCUCAAAUGGCCAAAGAAUACAUGGGGAUUGGUUAAAGACAGAUCGCACUAGAUUACCUCACCUGUAUGCAGUGGAGCCUAACAAAAAGUGCAGUGUUCAAGACAGGGAAAAUGACAGGGACUAGACUGACCUAGACUGACCUAGAAAUAGAUAUGAAACAUUGGAUACCAUCAAAGUGGGAAAAUCAAGGAACAGAUUGCCUUCUUCAGGGAGAACAGGACUAAUGAUGCCUUCAUUCCAACCCAAUCAAGCUGUUUCAAGUUGCUUUCACCAGAACUGUGAGACAAGCAAGGCAACUCUUUCUGAAGCCUGGGGAAACGUCUGCUCUUCUGAUGCAGUACUGCGAAAGAACAGAGCAAAGGAAGGCAGGGGUAUCGCUUCAGCCAUGAUCCAGGAGCACACUUACAGGAAUACAGGCACCAAUAAGCAACUGCAGUGAAGCAUGCAUCCAGGUGAGGUCCUAAUGGGAUACCGACCGAGGAUGCUACUCCUGUGGAUCUCGAGCUGAGGGGCCUUGUGAAGUACAACCAGAGAGUGGGGAAACAGGUGGCAUAUGAAUUUCUGCAUCCAAAAUGCAAACUGAAUUUAAAAU